UUUCUUUUUUUCAGUUUGGUUUCUCUCUUUCUGAAGUUUACAAUCUAAAGCUCUCUUGUAUAUUGCUUGUGCAGGGACGAUUUGAAAUCCUUCCCCUUUCUGGUUCUUUCCUGCUCUCAGAGAGUGGUGGUCAACGUAGUGGAGGUGUGGCUGGGCUUGUAAGCGGCAGCCUCUCCUGUUCAGGUAGAGGAAGCUCUUCUUCUUCAACUCACACUGAACAUUUGAUGCUUUCUUCCUUUGUCUUCUUCUCUUUUUCAGCUCCUCUCCUCUCUUUUUUUCUUCUCAGACUACAAAUGCCAAGAAAGAAAUGUAAUCAAGGAAGGAAAAGAGAGAGAGAGAGAGAGAGAGAGAGACUAUGGUGUGGUGUGGAGAGAAGAGAGAGGAGGUAGGUUAUUUUCAAGAGAGAGAAAUGAGAGAUUUUGGAAUGUGUGAGAUAAACAUCAUGGAUGGCUAAAUCACAGCUCAAAGCCCACCGAAUUCUUCUUGUUCCCUCUUCGCCUCUUAUUGCUAUCAACUUCCUUUUUUCAAUCUUCCUUUUCCUCUCUCUCUCUCUCUCUCUGUCUCUCUCUCUCUCUCUAGCAAGGCUGACUUUAUUCCAUUUCCCACCCAACCCCACACGUUUAAAGUUUAGAAUUCCAAAAAUGAGCCUUUUAAAAAAUGGUCGGCAGCGGCCACGGCCGCUCCGGCGAGUGAUGCCGGCGACGAGAAUCGGUUGAUCUCGCGAUAUUUUGAGGAGAUUUUAACAGUGGAGUUGUUUGUUUUUUAUCUGUACAGGUGUUCUGUUCUGCACGCACGACUUUGAAAGAUAUAUUUGGCAUUGGAACUGAUCCCACAAGUAUACUUCUAGAAUGGAUGAUAGCAGAAAUUUUAAAGCAUCCAGAAGUAAUGAAAGAAGUUCAAGAGGAAGUAAGGGGGGGUCACAAGGCGCAAAGGGAAUAUUGCAGAUGUUGAUAUAAAACAAAUGCAUUAUUUGAAUGCAGUGAUUAAGGAGACACUAAGUCCGCAUCCUCCACUCCCUUUAUUGACUCCGCAUAAAUUGACAAAAAAUGUCAAUAUACAAGGAUUUGAUGUUCCAGCCAACACAAUGGUAAUAAUCAAUGCAUGGGCCAUUGAAAGGGACUUGUGUCCUAGGAUGAACCCGAGAAGUUCAAACCAAAGAGGUUUUUGAAUGAUGCCUCUGUUGAUUUUAAUACCCAUGCUGAUUUUUAUUUAAUUCCAUUUGGGAUAGGCAGGCGAGGAUGCCCAGGAGCUCAACUCGCUUUUGGCAUUGUUCAACUUGUAAUCGAUAAUCUUUUGCACAAGUUUGACUUGGAGAUCGAGUGGGCUGGACUUGGAUAUUAUAGAAGCUACCGAAAUAUCAAAUCAUUUAAACUAUCCUCUUCAGGCUCCUGUUACUCCGAAAAAUAUUUGUGGCUCACUAAUCAUUUGUAUUGACCCACAUAAAUAGAUUUUUUUUUCUUAGUAAUGAAAUAUUUGUAAAUUCUUAUAUAAAUCCAUGUGAUAUUAUUAGUGCUUC
Molecule: long non-coding RNA, 1516 nt
Organism: Macadamia integrifolia
Lineage: Eukaryota; Viridiplantae; Streptophyta; Magnoliopsida; Proteales; Proteaceae
Exons: 2
Source: RefSeq, a predicted model, not a curated record